GUCGGGAAUUUUGGGCAAUGGGCGCAAGCCUGACCCAGCAACGCCGCGUGAAGGAUGAAGUAUUUCGGUAUGUAAACUUCGGAAGUAUGGGAAGAAUAAAUGACGGUACCAUAUCUAAGCCCCGGCUAACUCCGUGCCAGCAGCCGCGGUAAUACGGAGGGGGCAAGCGUUGUUCGGAUUUACUGGGCGUAAAGGGCGCGUAGGCGGCGUGACAAGUCACUUGUGAAAUCUCCGGGCUUAACUCGGAACUGCCAAGUGAUACUGUCGUGCUAGAGUGCAGAAGGGGCAACUGGAAUUCUUGGUGUAGCGGUGAAAUGCGUAGAUAUCAAGAGGAACACCUGAGGCGAAGGCGGGUUGCUGGGCUGACACUGACGCUGAGGCGCGAAAGCUAGGGUAGCAAACGGGAUUAGAAACCCUAGUAGUCC
Molecule: ribosomal RNA, 425 nt
Filed under: uncultured bacterium
Lineage: Bacteria
Description: bacterial SSU rRNA
Rfam family: Bacterial small subunit ribosomal RNA
Source: RNAcentral